RNAcentral lists this ribosomal RNA (340 nucleotides) under uncultured bacterium. RNAcentral's name for it is "bacterial SSU rRNA". It matches the Rfam family "Bacterial small subunit ribosomal RNA", at positions 32 to 366 of the family's 1533-position model. The record is from RNAcentral.
AAUCAACGCUGGCGGCGUGCCUCAGACAUGCAAGUCGAACGAUUAAACUUCCCUUCGGGGAAGAUAUAAAGUGGCGUACGGGUGAGUAACACGUAAGUAAUCUACCUUCGAGUGGGGAAUAACGUCCGGAACGGACGCUAAUACCGCAUAAUGCAGCGGCAUCUAUGAUGACAGUUGUUAAAGAUUUAUCGCUUGAAGAGGAGCUUGCGGCAGAUUAGCUAGUUGGUAAGGAAUGGCUUACCAAGGCGACGAUCUGUAUCCGGUCUAAGAGGACGGUCGGACACACUGACACUGAAUAACGGGUCAGACUCCUACGGGAGGGCAGCAGUCGGGAAUUUUU